GUAAUUAGUAACUGAGCUUGGAGACACCUGCCUAGGAUUUGCUUUGGACCGGAGUUCGAUUCUCCGCACCUCCACCA
RNAcentral lists this transfer-messenger RNA (77 nucleotides) under Solobacterium sp. RNAcentral describes it as "partial transfer-messenger RNA". It matches the Rfam family "transfer-messenger RNA", at positions 296 to 374 of the family's 374-position model. Rfam says of the family: Bacterial tmRNA, also known as 10Sa RNA or SsrA, is named for its dual tRNA and mRNA-like properties. Its role is to liberate the mRNA from a stalled ribosome. Lineage: Bacteria; Bacillati; Bacillota; Erysipelotrichia; Erysipelotrichales; Erysipelotrichaceae. The record is from RNAcentral.